UCUGGGUGACAUGGCUACAUGCUGUGGCUGACGCUGGACCUAACUUCGUUGGGACUGGCUGAUGCUUCGGUGGUGGUAGUUGUGCAGCCUUUCUGCCGUAUCUGUGAAAACGGGUGCUGGUUGGUCUAUGCGGCCGGUCGGCAUGCUUCUGAAUGCCUUUAAUUGGGUGUUCGGAGCGGACGGCAUGUUUACUUUGAACAAAUUUGAGUGCUCAGAGCAGGCCAUAGUGCCUGAAAAUUCUUGCAUGGAAUAAUGGAAUAGGACUUCGGUUCUAUUUUGUUGGUUU
RNAcentral lists this ribosomal RNA (286 nucleotides) under Fellodistomidae gen. sp. 1 MEO-2009. RNAcentral describes it as "partial small subunit ribosomal RNA". The stretch from base 182 to 286 matches the Rfam family "Eukaryotic small subunit ribosomal RNA", at positions 745 to 850 of the family's 1831-position model. Lineage: Eukaryota; Metazoa; Platyhelminthes; Trematoda; Strigeidida; Fellodistomidae. The record is from RNAcentral.